GCUAGAAGCCGACUGCCCUUUUGGACUGUGAGGUAAUAGAGGGGAAGAGGAAAAGACCCCAGGGUGGAGAAGUCAUCCCGGGGACCCUCCCUGGGAAACGUGCUAGGGCUGCUGCCACAAAGUCCCACAGAGAAGAAAGACAGAGUCUUAAGUGCCUGAAAUGACCAGGCUGUGGGCAAUCAUCAAUGAAAACCCGAGUCCCCGUCGAUGGAGCGAGUUGAAUGUCACGUACGCGCACGGCGCUGUGCAGGAAUCUAGUAAAUCUAAGCGACUGCAAUGAAAUGAGAGAUGGAGUUGGGGUAAUUAGAAAAUAAAAUUAAACAAAGCACCGAAAUGAACUCCACUGUCUGUCUCAAUCAACUGAUUUCUGAUUGCAUUACGACCAGUUAACCGAAUUAGUUGAGAGAUGGAGAAAUGUCUGCAACAUCAUCCCAUUUACGCUGGUGGCCAGAGUUCCAGGAGCCCACCCAGGAUGCCUACACGACAUUCAGUUGCCACGUCUCCUGAGGCUCCCGUUGGCUGCGACCUUGCAAACACCGAGAAGAACUAAGAUGCAAUACAGAACACACCCCUGCUGGGAUCCGUCGCACGUUUCCUCCUCCUGAGACCGAGGUUGGGUGCUUCGGACCAAGGGAACCAAAGCCAACUGCCAUGUUCCUCACAUAGCAUCUCUGGCCGACACCGCCCUCACGGUCCAUGGGCUCACCGGGUCUCCCCUGGCCAGUAUUUAGCAAAUUCUUUGGAAUAUUGAGAAAAUUUUCACUCCCUCAUAAAAUGAAAGACAGAAAGCCAACACACACAGAAAUGUCUCAGCCUUUACACAGUGUGACAUGAUUCUUCAUGUCCUGUAGCUGCCUUUUUACCUUUGAUAAGAAUAUUGUUCACCUGUGAGUUUCUGAACAUUUCACCUGCAAAAAAGGAAGGAAAUUCUACAGUUCAUCUUUUUUAAUGAAAAAAGAAAGUCCUGGGCAGCCCAGGUGGCUCAGCGGUUUAGUGUUGCCUUCAGCCUGGGCCAUGAUCCUGGAGACCUGGGAUCA
Canis lupus familiaris (dog) is the source of this 1037-nucleotide long non-coding RNA. RefSeq lists it as uncharacterized. NCBI's taxonomy places the organism in Eukaryota, Metazoa, Chordata, Mammalia, Carnivora, Canidae. The record is from RefSeq and is a predicted model, not a curated record. The transcript has 7 exons.